CCUUAUAAGAUAGUUUUUGUCGAGCCUGCAACUUUUGUUGCAGAAAGCUCGACAUAGGGAUAGUGAUCCGGCGGCGGCGGCGGCGGCUACGGCGGCGGCUACGGCGGCGGCGUUAGCUAACUUCUUAAAAGGUUUAUAUUUUAGAAGGUGAAAGACCUGGAUGCUUCAUACUUUGUAUAUAGAUGCCUCAUGUUACGAAGUUUCCGUCAGUCACAUGUCCAAUGUCCUUGAC
Molecule: long non-coding RNA, 232 nt
Filed under: Mytilus galloprovincialis (Mediterranean mussel)
Lineage: Eukaryota; Metazoa; Mollusca; Bivalvia; Mytilida; Mytilidae
Source: RNAcentral